This 251-nucleotide ribosomal RNA is filed under the name uncultured bacterium. Its description in RNAcentral is "partial 16S ribosomal RNA". It matches the Rfam family "Bacterial small subunit ribosomal RNA", at positions 525 to 775 of the family's 1533-position model. The record is from RNAcentral.
ACGGAAGGUCCGGGCGUUAUCCGGAUUUAUUGGGUUUAAAGGGAGCGUAGGCCGUUUGGUAAGCGUGUUGUGAAAUGUCGGGGCUCAACCUGGGCAUUGCAGCGCGAACUGCCAGACUUGAGUGCGCAGGAAGUAGGCGGAAUUCGUCGUGUAGCGGUGAAAUGCUUAGAUAUGACGAAGAACUCCGAUUGCGAAGGCAGCCUGCUGUAGCGCAACUGACGCUGAAGCUCGAAAGCGUGGGUAUCGAACAG